This 250-nucleotide unclassified non-coding RNA is filed under the name plant metagenome. RNAcentral describes it as "partial contains small subunit ribosomal RNA, internal transcribed spacer 1, and 5.8S ribosomal RNA". The record is from RNAcentral.
GUAGGUGAACCUGCGGAAGGAUCAUUAACACGUAUCCAACGUUAAACCCCCCCGUGAAUAUUAAUCGUGCUCUUGCUGCCCGGGAGGCCAGCAAUCCCUGGUAAAUCAAGUCGAACAGCUUUGAUUCAGGGACUUCUGCCCGACUGAGAAGAAUAACAGCGGCAAUCGAGCGCUGGGCAAGUGGUUUGGUUUCCCCUCAAAUUCACUUCAAUGAAUGCCAGUGUCAUUGAAGUGUGAUGGGGAGAACGCU